RNAcentral lists this ribosomal RNA (520 nucleotides) under Ingerophrynus biporcatus (Sunda ridge-headed toad). Its description in RNAcentral is "partial 16S ribosomal RNA". It matches the Rfam family "Bacterial large subunit ribosomal RNA", at positions 1844 to 2567 of the family's 2925-position model. Lineage: Eukaryota; Metazoa; Chordata; Amphibia; Anura; Bufonidae. The record is from RNAcentral.
UAUAAGAGGUCCAGCCUGCCCAGUGACUCUGUUUAACGGCCGCGGUAUCCUAACCGUGCGAAGGUAGCGUAAUCACUUGUUCUUUAAAUGAGGACUAGUAUGAAUGGCACCACGAGGGUUAUACUGUCUCCCUUUUCUAAUCAGUGAAACUAAUCUCCCCGUGAAGAAGCGGGGAUAAAAAUAUAAGACGAGAAGACCCUAUGGAGCUUUAAACUAUAUAGCACUUACUACCAAUUUUACAACUCACGAGUUCCUUCCAUAUUAGCUACUAUGACUAUAAGUUUUUGGUUGGGGUGACCACGGAGCACAACAUAACCUCCAUGUUGAAGGAAUUUAUUUCUAAGCCAAGAGCCACAUCUCUAAGAAUCAAUAUCUUGACAUCAAUUGACCCAAUAUACUUGAUCAACGAACCAAGUUACCCUAGGGAUAACAGCGCAAUCUACUUCAAGAGCCCCUAUCGACAAGUGGGUUUACGACCUCGAUGUUGGAUCAGGGUCCCCCAGUGGUGCAGCCGCUACUA